RNAcentral lists this ribosomal RNA (445 nucleotides) under uncultured bacterium. Its description in RNAcentral is "partial 16S ribosomal RNA". It matches the Rfam family "Bacterial small subunit ribosomal RNA", at positions 354 to 796 of the family's 1533-position model. The record is from RNAcentral.
GUGGGGAAUAUUGGACAAUGGAUGCAAGUCUGACCCAGCCAUCCCGCGUGCCGGAAGAAGGCCCUCAGGGUUGUAAACGGCUUUUGACGGUGAAGAAUCGACAGGAUGCGUCCUGUUUUGACGGUAGCCGUUGAAUAAGCACCGGCUAACUCCGUGCCAGCAGCCGCGGUAAUACGGAGGGUGCGAGCGUUGUCCGGAUUUAUUGGGUUUAAAGGGUGCGUAGGCUGGAAGGUCAGUCAGCGGUGAAAAGCUGUCGCUUAACGAUAGUCUUGCCGCAGAUACUUCCUUUCUUGGAUGAGGAGGAGGCCACUGGAACGGAUGGUGUAGCGGUGAAAUGCAUAGAUAUCAUCCAGAACACCGAUUGCGAAGGCAGGUGGCUGUACCUUAAUCGACGCUGAUGCACGAAAGCAUGGGGAGCAAACAGGAUUAGAAACCCUUGUAGUCC